Molecule: ribosomal RNA, 583 nt
Filed under: uncultured Planctomycetota bacterium
Lineage: Bacteria; Pseudomonadati; Planctomycetota
Description: bacterial SSU rRNA
Rfam family: Bacterial small subunit ribosomal RNA
Source: RNAcentral
CUUACCCUGGGAUUUGGCAUAGCCCGUAGAGAUACGGGGUAAUUCCAAGCGACGUGGUUGGGGGGCAUCCCCCGGUCACCAAAGGUCCGCUGUCCUGGGAGAGGCCCAUGUGGUAUUAGCUAGUUGGUGGGGUAACGGCCUACCAAGGCGAAGAUGCCUAGCGGGUGUGAGAGCACGACCCGCGCCAUUGGCACUGAGAACUGGCCAAACACCUACGGGUGGCUGCAGUCGAGGAUCUUCGGCAAUGGGCGCAAGCCUGACCGAGCGACGCCGCGUGUGCGAUGAAGGCCUUCGGGUUGUAAAGCACUGUCGAGGGGGAGAAAGGCGCAAGCUUGAUCUAUCCCUGGAGGAAGCACGGGCUAAGUUCGUGCCAGCAGCCGCGGUAAGACGAACCGUGCGAACGUUGUUCGGAAUCAUUGGGCUUAAAGGGCGCGUAGGCGGGCUUCCAAGUCCGGGGUGAAAUCCUCCAGCUUAACUGGAGAACUGCCCCGGAUACUGGAGGUCUCGAGGAAGGUAGGGGCAUGCGGAACUGUGGGUGGAGCGGUGAAAUGCGUUGAUAUCCACAGGAACUCCGGUGGCGAAG